CGCGUAGGGCGCAAGCGUUGUCCGGAAUUAUUGGGCGUAAAGAGCUCGUAGGCGGUUUGUUGUGUCGGCUGUGAAAUCCCGAGGCUCAACCUCGGGUCUGCAGUCGAUACGAGCAAACUAGAGUGUUGCAGGGGAGACUGGAAUUCCUGGUGUAGCGGUGAAAUGCGCAGAUAUCAGGAGGAACACCGGUGGCGAAGGCGGGUCUCUGGGCAACAACUGACGCUGAGGAGCGAAAGCGUGGGGAGCGAACAGG
This 253-nucleotide ribosomal RNA is filed under the name uncultured bacterium. Its description in RNAcentral is "partial 16S ribosomal RNA". It matches the Rfam family "Bacterial small subunit ribosomal RNA", at positions 524 to 776 of the family's 1533-position model. The record is from RNAcentral.